This 29-nucleotide non-coding RNA is filed under the name Homo sapiens (human). Lineage: Eukaryota; Metazoa; Chordata; Mammalia; Primates; Hominidae. The record is from RNAcentral.
UCUCACAUCCAGGUAACACUGAUGCAAGA